This 192-nucleotide ribosomal RNA is filed under the name uncultured Pasteurellales bacterium. RNAcentral describes it as "partial 16S ribosomal RNA". It matches the Rfam family "Bacterial small subunit ribosomal RNA", at positions 140 to 334 of the family's 1533-position model. Lineage: Bacteria; Pseudomonadati; Pseudomonadota; Gammaproteobacteria; Pasteurellales. The record is from RNAcentral.
GGAGUAACUACGGGAAACUGUAGCUAAUACCGCGUAGAAUCGGAAGAUGAAAGUGCGGGACCGCAAGGCCGCAUGCCAUGAGAUGAGCCCAAGUGGGAUUAGGUAGUUGGUGGGGUAAAGGCCUACCAAGCCUGCGAUCUCUAGCUGGUCUGAGAGGAUGGCCAGCCACACUGGAACUGAGACACGGUCCAG